This 194-nucleotide unclassified non-coding RNA is filed under the name plant metagenome. RNAcentral describes it as "partial contains small subunit ribosomal RNA, internal transcribed spacer 1, and 5.8S ribosomal RNA". The record is from RNAcentral.
UCUCCGUUGGUGAACCAGCGGAGGGAUCAUUACCGAGUUUACAACUCCCAAACCCCUGUGAACAUACCAUUUGUUGCCUCGGCGGUGCCUGCUUCGGCAGCCCGCCAGAGGACCCAAACCCUUGAUUUUAUACAGUAUCUUCUGAGUAAUGACUAAAUAAAUCAAAACUUUCAACAACGGAUCUCUUGGUUCUG